GUAAGGAAUAUUGGUCAAUGGACGAAAGUCUGAACCAGCCAUGCCGCGUGAAGGAUUAAGGCCCUCUGGGUUGUAAACUUCUUUUAUCUGGGACGAAAAAAGGGUAUUCUUACUCACUUGACGGUACCAGAGGAAUAAGCACCGGCUAACUCCGUGCCAGCAGCCGCGGUAAUACGGAGGGUGCAAGCGUUAUCCGGAUUUACUGGGUUUAAAGGGUGCGUAGGUGGGUCUGUAAGUCAGUGGUGAAAUCUCCGAGCUUAACUCGGAAACUGCCAUUGAUACUAUAGGUCUUGAAUUAUCUGGAGGUAAGCGGAAUAUGUCAUGUAGCGGUGAAAUGCUUAGAUAUGACAUAGAACACCAAUUGCGAAGGCAGCUUACUACGGAUAUAUUGACACUGAGGCACGAAAGCGUGGGGAUCAAACAGGAUUAGAUACCCUGGUAGUCC
RNAcentral lists this ribosomal RNA (445 nucleotides) under uncultured bacterium. Its description in RNAcentral is "bacterial SSU rRNA". It matches the Rfam family "Bacterial small subunit ribosomal RNA", at positions 354 to 796 of the family's 1533-position model. The record is from RNAcentral.